This 239-nucleotide unclassified non-coding RNA is filed under the name plant metagenome. RNAcentral describes it as "partial contains small subunit ribosomal RNA and internal transcribed spacer 1". The record is from RNAcentral.
AAGUCGUCACAAGGUUUCCGUAAGGUAGAACCUGCUGGAAGGAAUCAUUAGAAAGGUCUUGUUCGCCUGAUGGAGACGCGCGCGAACCUACCUUCAAACCGACUGUGGAAGCCACUUGUUGCUUCGCGGCACGUCCUCCGCCCCCGGGCGGAAGGGCCGUCAGUUCGCAGAAGCCCAAACCAAAAACUUCUUUGUAACAGUCUGUCUGAGAAAAAAACAUGAAUUAAAAUUCGUUAAAA